RNAcentral lists this transfer RNA (72 nucleotides) under Heterocephalus glaber (naked mole-rat). It matches the Rfam family "tRNA". Rfam says of the family: Transfer RNA (tRNA) molecules are approximately 80 nucleotides in length. Their secondary structure includes four short double-helical elements and three loops (D, anti-codon, and T loops). Lineage: Eukaryota; Metazoa; Chordata; Mammalia; Rodentia; Bathyergidae. The record is from Rfam by way of RNAcentral.
UGGGGUGUAGCUCAGUGGCAGAGCAAUUGCCCAGCAUGUACGAGGUCUUGGGUUUGAUCCCCAAUAUCACAA